Molecule: non-coding RNA, 9158 nt
Organism: Anas platyrhynchos (mallard)
Lineage: Eukaryota; Metazoa; Chordata; Aves; Anseriformes; Anatidae
Source: RefSeq, a predicted model, not a curated record
UUUGAAGCAUCUCCAUGUUUCUUGAGUAUUGUUUCAAAUGUUCUGCUUAAUGGGUAGCAUGGGGUUAAAUGUGACAUUACAACUUAACUCAAAAGAAUAUCCUCUGUACGCUGUACACUUUUGCCUAUUUAUACUCAAUAAAUAUCCUGGUUCAUAGGUGAACUGACAUUUCAGGAUGCAUAUUUCCUCGUGGUAGCUGUGCUUCUGUGUGUAUAGUAUGCAAAUAGAUUUUCGUUAUGAUAUUUGUAUAUGCCUUUUUUGUGAGCAGAAGUGAUACAAAACUGGAAAAGAAAAAGCCCAGGCCCAGUUUUAGCUCUUUAAGUAUUCUGACUAAGGUUUCACUGUAUUAAUUGUUCUGUCGUAUUUUUUCUCAGAGUUUACAUGGUUUAAAAAAAACAAGAAGAAAAAAAAAAAGAUUUUACUGUACUCUGAAUUUUGUGGGUUUUAAAAAGCAUUAUGAGAGAGCCAGGUAUUAACAUUUCAUUCAUUUUCAGCUGAAUGUGUGUUAUUUUAAGCCUUUGCGUUUGAGGUAAUACUGCAAAUGGAAGUUGCUGUUGUUGUGGCAGCUGCUGGUUACUAAGGCACCAUACCCAUACAAGAUAACUGUCCAGAAUAUCUGCUUGCACUGCACGCAGUCUGGGCCCUGGAAUUUGUAAUAGAUAAAUAAAUCUUUUACCAGUGUCCCUUUGCUUGGGUUUUUCUUUGGGAGUCCCUUGUGACUAAGUUAACUUUUGGAACUGGGUGUUUGAGAUGCGCUGCUUGUGCUGGGAGGAUGGGCAGUAUCCACCUUUCUCUUAUUUUCAAAAAAAAAAAAAAAAAGUGCUUUGGAAAAAUUUCAGCAUGUGCUUUUUCCCCUCUUACUUCUUAAGCUCUGUGAGCAGUGAAAUAGUUAUUUCUUUUAAAGGUUAACAGUGUUGAAAUUGGCUAUCUAAGUUGAGUCUUAUCUACUUUAAAUAAUUUCUGUCACAAGUUUUUCUUAAAUGCAAUUUUGCCACCUCCCUGAAUAACACAGGCUAGGCAAAACUUCUUUUGGCAUAGCUUUAUCUACAUGGCGUGUUUUGUUGGCUUAGUUGACUUAGGGUGUGAUGCUGCCCCCACAUACACCUUGAGCAGAUACAGUAUUGUUCCACUGGGAAAUUAUUGUGCAGCAGAUGUGGCUCAAGUCCUAAGAAAUAAAUAUUCCAAGAGGUGUAAAGCCAUUUUUUACCUUAUAAGUGAAGGUAAACAGUGCAGUAAGGCCAUGAUUUUGUAGCUAUUAUAGUGACCACACAAAUUAAGAAAAAGUCAAUAGAGUGAGCAGAGCCAAGGUGUUUGUAAUGGCAUAUGGAGGCUGGGUUUAGUUCUGCCCAAUAAAAUCACUAGAUCACCACAUAUUAGCACCAGCUCAUUGUUUUGCCUGCUCGUUCACAUGCCCUUAGAAACUGAACAUCAAUUUCACAUUUGAAACAUUGGUUGUACUCACCUUACUUGCUCCUCUGAAAAUGUGGAGAAGCAGGGAAUGGAAAAUACAUAAAAAAGAUACUGCAUCAUUUUCCAUAAUUCCUUGUUUUUAUGCCUUCUUUAGAACUGGAAGGCUAUAAUUUUUUUAAAGGGAUUUCUAUCUUUUCACUGUUAUUUCUAACAGCGAACUUGCCAUCAGUGGUCUGCCUACAGCAACUUCUCUUCCACACUAGAGCUGCUUCCAAGAGGGAAGGAAGCCCAAAGUGUGACCUCUGUGUAUUUAUAGCAAAGACAAAAGAGAGACGUGUUUUAAGGCAUGACAAAAAUGUUUGGUCAAUUUGAAUAUGUUGCUCUUAUAAGUGAACCUUCUUUUAUGGCAGACCCAGGACCUACUGUUAAUGGCAGAUAGGCUUCUUGUCAAUCUAUUGUUCAUUUUAAAUUAUUCUGAAUUCCCUGCAUUUCAGACUUUCUAAGAGUCUUGCGAAAGUUGGGUUUAUGAUUAUUAUUAUGAUUAUUAAUUAUUUUAUUUAUAGCCCUAGUGAAGUCCUAGGAGAAGUCAGCAGCUGUAGGUUAAAAGCUUUCAAAUAUUUCAUCAACCACUACUCUGCCUCUGCUAACUUUUAGCUACUUCUGCUAAUAUAUGCUAAGUCUGGAAUUACAGAAGUGCGGUGGAGUCAAGAUGGAGGCACGCUGACAGAAACCUGAAGCAACACUUCAUCCCUUUGUAAUUUACAGCCCUGACAGACUGCAGAGAGGCAUCUCUUUCCCCCUGUAGCAAAUGAAAAGGUUAACAAAAUUCCAGACUGUAGAAGCAAUAGCUAUUGUAAUUCCAGUUUAAAUACAGUAACUUGUUAAGCCAAGUGGUUAAAAUGGUUACGAUUCCUCAAACAUUUUUAAGUUCUAUCAAUGUUCAUUUUGUCUUGCUCUGUGGACAGCUUUACUGAAGGAGAUCUAUGAUUCAUUUUUGGGAGGAUCCGUAGCCAACUGUUACUAGCUUUGAAAUCCUGGUGCAGUCAUUCCACUAUCAUCACUCUGCUGAGUGAUUAGAGAAUUUCUAUUCAAUUUAUAUAUGGAAACCUGGAGAUGGGGACUUGCCCUGAGAUGAGAAUAUCUUAGUGCAUAAGCCGCUUUUUUUAUUUUAUAUACUUUAUUGAUAAGUACAUUUAUUUCGUACUAGCCAGAAACCAAUCAGUCACAUUUUUACUUUGUUUAAAAGCUGCAGACAUACUUCCAAGCCAUGGCUGUGAACCAGUCAUGGUAGGUUGAGGAGGGGAUGUUAGGCAAAAUCAAACCAAAGCUGAGACUUGAAUGCUGGCCACUAGACUGUGCAGCCUGUUGUGUUACUUAACUGGCACUAGGACCGUGCAGUCGUUGAGACUAGAUGGAGGACAGAAGAGCAGUAAGGAAAUAAUUGUUCAGAUCUUAUUCUUGACAGUUAUGGAUAAGUCUCUUCUAGUCAGAGUAUUUCUCAGUCUCCAAGCAGAAGAUAAGUUGUAGAAGCAGAUCUCUACUGAAAGAAAGAAGCAAAAUCUAGAUCCAAUCUGAGAUCUUUUCUCAGAACCACCAGUAGUGGAAGAGAGGCCAGUCUAGAGAAAAAUAAGACCUGUGAAUUAUCUUGCUUGCUACUGCACUAUGGCUGUAGGGAAAGGCCAGCCAGAUACUCCAGGCAAAGUAGGAACAUAUUCAGCUUUAAUAUUCAAUGGACUGUAGUUUCACUUCGAAUUGUGAUGUUUUUGCUGAGUGGCUGCAUGCACUCUUGUUCUUCUUUGUUUUUCAGGCCCUUAAUGUCAGUGUCAUUUCAUACGCGGCUGUCUUGUCCCUUCUCCCUUGCCAUACCUUGUCUCCUUUGGUUUCUGUGACCCAUGUCCUUCCCUUCACCAAAAAUGAAUCAAUAAAUUCAUGUUGGUAUCUAGUGAUCAUGUUCAUUUUGCUUUGAAGCUAAACCUUCCCUUAGUAUUCACUUUCUGAGAUGAUGAACUCGGGGGAUGGCUACAGCUGUGUUUGUGCAAUGCUUGGCCUUUAAGUAAUCCUGCGAUGAAUAGCGAUAGUCAGUUUGGAACAAAACCCAGAUUUUCCUUUCUCUUCCUCUCUUCUCCUAAAUGAAUUUCAGAGGUGUAAAUUAGUUUUUCUUCCCAAGGGUUUAACAGACUAGAUAUCUUGGUCAUCUCAGCUCUUCUAGUCUUGUUUUGUGACUUGCAUGGAGGAAGAAUGGCAGUACACUCCAAGAAUUCCUGAAUAGCAUGCACAUGUUCUUGCUGUUCGUGAUAAUGUUUUGGUAUCCCAUCGGAACAAAUGCCACAAUUCAAAGGGGUUAUUUAUUUGCCAUUGAGAGAUGCCUCAGUGGUAAUAUGAGCCAUUUUGGUUUCUUAAUUGCCUGAACAUUGUUUGAAGAGGAAAAAAAACCAACAACACAGGAUAAAAAAAGAAGGCUAUGAAAUGAAAGAAGAUGAGUGAGGAGGUUGGAAUAAAAAUCUCAGUGGGACUAGAAUAUGUAAACCAGCAUAUGGGGGAAGAAAGAAUAGUGAGUACAAAUAGCAAGACUGCAAAAACAGAAAGAAGUUGAAAAUUACAGUGGAAGUAAAUUAGAAAAGAAAAGAGAGGGGCCAGACGGAAAGAGUCUGGGAAGCCAGAGUAUUGUGAAAGGGACUGGGCAUGGCAAAACAUACCUUUUUUUUAAAAAAAAAAAGUUGGCAACUUAUAGGUAAAGUUAGCUCAGACGAUGUUAAUUCUGAAAAAUUCAAUGUCUCCUGUACAAAGGGUAGAUUCUGUUUUCACUUGUUUUCUGUAUUUGUCUACUUAAAAGGGGCAAAAAUUUUACAUAUAUUAGACAAAAUACAUAUUUGUUUUAGCUAUAUGUUUUGUUUAAAACAGUUAUAUGACAAGCAUUUUUCUAUGAAGCACUUUUUUUAAAAAAAAUGUAGGCCCAUUUAUAUUUUUUAUUAAACUAAAUGAAAGAGAAAAAAUUAAUAAUACUGAGCUCUUAAGCCAACAUCAACUUCGUGUAGUAACACCUGGAAAAUCCUUAGUCUUAAAACAUAUCACAGUGUAUAAUACCUGCAGUGUUCAUGCAAUGGGACAAAUAGAAACAGGUGAAGUCAGAUGUUCAUUUUAAAGCAUAAAGUAGCACUGAGGUGUGGCCAUGUGCAUGUUUAAAGCAAUUCUCAGCAAGUAAGUGCUUUAGAGCCUGUAGGGUCAUAGUGACACUGCCAGCCUCUGAACUAAGACUAUUUUUGACAACACAGCAGAUCUGUUGAAGUGAUGGUAAAGGGACAUAAGAGAAAUACUAGAGGAGACUUGUUUCAUAUUUUGUGUUGCUUUGUCUUUGGCUGGAAAGGGAGAACAAGAAGCAAUGCAUUGUAAUUGUGGUGGUUUGCUGUGGUGCAGAAAUUUGAAAACCUACUCAAGCUGAAUGUUUUUCAAAUCAACAAAUGUUUGACUUAGGGAAAAAAAAUACAGUAAGUCAUCUCCAGUAAAGUAGAAUUUGCAAGGAAACAUGAGCUUCACUUAAGGAGGGUAUUCAGUAUGUGCAUAACUUAAAGAGCAUAACUAAUCAGAAGUGUCAUUGAAACUAUUCCUGUACUUAAAGAACAUCCUUUAGUAAUUGGCUGGGUCUAAACCAGAAAGAGCAGCAAGCACAACAAAGAACUUAAUGUUUUCUGGUGGAAGUCACAGCAGCUCUUUCAUUUCACUAUAGCGUGUGCAAACUCUUCAAACUGUUUCUCUGCUCUGUGGAUAGUAGAAAGCACUUCCAUAUGAAAUCCACAUGUUAUGUUUUAAUUGACUGUAAAUCCUUUUUUUUUUUAAAGACUGCUGUUUUCAAAGUCUUAAUGUAGUUUGUGCAUACUGUGAGAAGAUUGUAUAUGAAGUCUCCAUUUGUAUGUGUGACUAUAGUUGAUGACAUUAAAGAGUCUGGAUCAAUACCUGAAUUGGUAUGCUCCAAAUGCAUUAGACUGCUCCAAAAGACACAAAACACACUGUGAGUAAACAGAUUAAAAAAGAAAAUCAAAACAAAAGUCAUUCUUACAGGGAUUGAAAAUAGCCUGCUGAGGUGUUUCACUACAAAUAUGUGGCACCUUACAAGUAAUACGGAUAUACACUUCUGUCUUCUUGAUGGGCCUGUAUUAUCUCCAGUUAAUAUGAAGAAACUUCAUUCAAAUUCAUACCAAAUUUCUGAGUGAUGCAGUCCUCAUCUUCCACUGCUCCACAGACAGUGCUUUGUAAGUAAGUAAAUAGAAGUGAUGAUAAGAGAGUGGAAUUCAGCUGGCUAACAUUUACUUCAGUCUAGACGCUCAGGAUCCUGUACUUGCAUGUGUGGAGGGGGGAUUCAAAGGAGAAAGCCUUAUGGAGAAUGCUAGAAUGGGUGCUCUUAAGUAAAAUUUUGAUACAAAAAAUAAUCUAUGAAAACUCCAGGGCUAUUGAGAGGGGAAAAGUUGUUGCACUCCUGAAGAGUUUAAAGAGUAAAUUCUUAUACGUGACCUAAGAAAUAUACUGUAUUACAGUUUUCAAUGGUAAGUGAACCACUGAAUUGACAAUUUUUUUCCCCUUUAAAUUGGGUAAACCGAUCUGAAUGGCAUGCUGCCUGAUCAUUGCUAAUGACAGAGCACUGGGUAAUCGUGCAGUAUGUGCUUGUGUUUCUGUAUGUACUCUUCAGAAUUCCAGUAAGCUUUUGCCCUACUAAAGGGGUUAGUGUAUUUCAGUCCAUUUAAUGAAUUUUUGAAUAAACAAGAUGUGACAGUCAGCUGAUAAGUGUUUAUUCCUAGUAUUUUUGUGUGUAUGCUAUUUACACUAAUGAGGCAUCAGUACUUCAUUGCAGUGGAUGCUGGACAUACAAACAAAGAAUAUAUUCUUUGCCUUCAAAGACCUUAUAGUCAUAAUGUAAGAUAAGAAAUGGAUUUUAACAAAAACAAAGACCAGAAAACACUGUACAACAUAAGGGUGAUAUAAAUCCUUGUAAUGGCAACAUGGAAAUUAUCAGAGAAGAAAAUACUGGCUGUGUGGGACAGUUGGAACAGUGUCAUCUCCAAAGAUCUUGACAUUUCAUUCUGAUGCUUUGUACAAUGACAUUAUAGUAGGGUGUCAAAUACAGGGUUUUAUAAUUAUUCAUAUUGUGGUGUAUAAAAUUUGGAGAAAAACAGAUUUUACCACAUAUAUUUAUUUGUAUUUGUAAGCAUGUGUAUGUAUUUAUUCAUUACAAAUAGAGGGGAGAUCAGGUUUGUGUGUUUGGCCGUAUUUGUUGCUUUUGCUGGCUCUUGGCUUACAUUCGUAAAUGCUGCCUUUUAACCUCACAGGGCUUCUCAUGCUUUUCAUAAGAGCAAAUACAUGCAAAUAUUCUCAUUCUGCAUUAUUUUUCAUUUAGUAACUAAGAUUAUGUUAUGUUUUAGAAAGCUGGGUAAUUGGAUCGAGUAUUUAAUCUUUCAAUUUAAAGGCUUUUUCUGUUGUUGUUCUUUUAAGUAUUUCCUGUAACUAAACAAGAUAGGCAAAGCUAAUAUGCAUAGCUGUAAUACGGAAGGGCAACCUUUUUUAAAAUACUCUCCUUGGUGUGAGUUACAAUAGGUGAGCACAGAAAAGAAGGUGAAUAUGCUGUUUCUGCUGGUGCAGUGGAUAAAUGUGUAGGUGUUUCAAGCCUGGUGUAUUGUUAACUCUCUCAUUUCCUCCAAUGAAUAAAAUGGAUUGCUUGUGAAUGCAAUUCACAGCAGUGAAUGGGCUGCUAUCAGGAGCGUUCUUCUCGUGAAUUGUUAAAAGGGGAGCGAGACGUGAUACAGUGGAAGCUGCAGGCUUUGUAUCAGGAGUGCUACUUUUAGAAAGGCUGAAUCAACAAACUCAUAAUUUGCAAGCGAUCAAAGGACACAUGUUUCUAACCUUGGUAUGUUCUUUUUUUUUUUUUUUUCCUUUCAUCCUUCCACAGUUGUCCUCCAGACUGCAAUGUCAUGUUUUACAGGCUAUGUUUAGUUUCUUCAUUAAAGCUCCAAUGUGAACUACAGGGUUCAAGGUAGUCAGGCCAAAUGAGUGUCUGUUAGAGUCUACAUAUACUUCAGGUUUGUCUGAAAUUCCCCUCAGUUCUACCAUCACUCUAAUAGUUUGUCUGGAGCACUAAACCUAAUCCUUUUGCAUUAAAAUUGGCAGUACAUUAUUUGAUUACAAUACUGGGACUCAGUGUCCACAAAUCCCUAAAAGCAGUGUUUCGUUCAGUUAUGGGUAGUCAGGCUGCUAGGCAGAUUGUCUCUGCAAAUGGUGUCUUUGCAGUGAAGAAAAGGCGGUCUUGGAUUUGUUUGUUUAUUUAUUUAUUUUAGAGCUUUGUGGGUUGACUGUUGGCUCUCAACCAAGGGUGUUUCCUGUUUCUAGUUUUGACUUCUACUAGGGUUGUUUUCAAGCUGCACACUCUGUUGCACUGUAGCUAAAUAGAGUGUGCCAGGCAACAUCAAGAGUACUAUGGAUGCUUUCUGGGUGGUGGCCCUCUAGAGGUUUAGCUUCAGGCAUCUCUCAACUCUUAAGCUGAGUUUAUAUUUUUUUCAAAUAUGAUGUUAGUGAAUAUUGUAUAAAGGUGUUUGUGGUUUGUAGUGGAAUUCAAGCCUCAAAAUCCAAAGCUUCAGAAAAUUUGCAUCCUAUGCAGUCUCACAGAGGCCAGUGUGCAGCAAAUCGUAUUUUAUAGCAUACGGCUGCUGAAGUACCAAAGUUGGGAUAACUACUUCAAGGCAGGCACAUCCGUAUUGAAGUGGACACACUUGGAAAGGUAAGUGACUUAGAGAUUCUAAGUUGUUGAUAAUUUUUAUUGAAUUUUGUAUUUUCAAAAAUAUUUAAUAUAAUGUGGAGAAAUAAUGAGCUUCACAUUAUGUGUACUGAACACAAAUUCUAUGUAAAUGUCAAUAAUUUCUAGUGCAAAUGUUUUUAUAUUUCAUUGAAUUGUGUUUGAAAACAAUAAAUGGAUCAUGUUGACUAAAACCAGGAAUGAAACAGGUUGAUCUAAUACAGUCUUUAAUAAAUUUAAAUGCAAAAAGAAAGAAACCACAUUUUAUAUUAAAAAAAAAAGUUUUCAAUAAUGUUUAAUUUUAGAAAUUUUAUUAAACUGUUAGAAUUGAUGCAAUCUGUUUAGAAAUACAACUUCUGUCUUUCCAGAAGUUAAUCUUUUGUAAUUGCUGUUAUGAUUGAGCUUUUAAUUUUAGUAGCUCCUGUUACCUUCUGCAAUCCCUUCAAAUUAAAAAAAAAUAAAUCUGGAGCUGUAAAUCUCACAGAAUUGGAUUUAAUGGAUUAAAAAUUAGAAUAUUAGUGGAUGAGUUGCCCUUUUUUAUGACAAUAUUUUAAGAUGCUUAUUUUCACCUUGCAUAUCCUGAAAUGCUUCUAUCUGCAGUAAAAUUAUAACUUAACAUAAAAAAUGUUACUUUAUGUUUGCAGAAAAUGGCAAAAAGAAUGGCACAAUGACUGUCUUCAUUAUUGUAAGAGGAAAAAAUGCAUGGGAACUGUAUCAAGGUUGGUGGAUCAAACCUGAAUUGAGUCUACAUUACAUUGAAAAGAAGCUAAGUCAAGAAAAGGCCAUGGUGGUGAUGUUUCUCUUGCUGUAUCCCAAUAGCUGCUAAUUUAUAGAAUAGAUUGACAUAUAUUGUAGACAAUUAUAAUGGAAAUACAAGGAGUACAAUAGCCAUAAAAUGUACGAGGGUAGAGGAGUAUAUGUGGCCUGGGUAGAUGGCAUUUUAUAUUGUUCAAUAAACAUCAGUUGAAGUGUC